This 910-nucleotide ribosomal RNA is filed under the name uncultured bacterium. Its description in RNAcentral is "bacterial SSU rRNA". It matches the Rfam family "Bacterial small subunit ribosomal RNA", at positions 33 to 925 of the family's 1533-position model. The record is from RNAcentral.
ACGCUGGCGGCGUGCCUAAUACAUGCAAGUAGAACGCUGAAGAGAGGAGCUUGCUCUUCUUGGAUGAGUUGCGAACGGGUGAGUAACGCGUAGGUAACCUGCCUUGUAGCGGGGGAUAACUAUUGGAAACGAUAGCUAAUACCGCAUAACAAUAGGUGACACAUGUCAUUUAUUUGAAAGGGGCAAUUGCUCCACUACAAGAUGGACCUGCGUUGUAUUAGCUAGUAGGUGAGGUAACGGCUCACCUAGGCGACGAUACAUAGCCGACCUGAGAGGGUGAUCGGCCACACUGGGACUGAGACACGGCCCAGACUCCUACGGGAGGCAGCAGUAGGGAAUCUUCGGCAAUGGGGGCAACCCUGACCGAGCAACGCCGCGUGAGUGAAGAAGGUUUUCGGAUCGUAAAGCUCUGUUGUAAGUCAAGAACGAGUGUGAGAGUGGAAAGUUCACACUGUGACGGUAGCUUACCAGAAAGGGACGGCUAACUACGUGCCAGCAGCCGCGGUAAUACGUAGGUCCCGAGCGUUGUCCGGAUUUAUUGGGCGUAAAGCGAGCGCAGGCGGUUUGAUAAGUCUGAAGUUAAAGGCUGUGGCUCAACCAUAGUUCGCUUUGGAAACUGUCAAACUUGAGUGCAGAAGGGGAGAGUGGAAUUCCAUGUGUAGCGGUGAAAUGCGUAGAUAUAUGGAGGAACACCGGUGGCGAAAGCGGCUCUCUGGUCUGUAACUGACGCUGAGGCUCGAAAGCGUGGGGAGCGAACAGGAUUAGAUACCCCGGUAGUCCACGCCGUAAACGAUGAGUGCUAGGUGUUGGAUCCUUUCCGGGAUUCAGUGCCGCAGCUAACGCAUUAAGCACUCCGCCUGGGGAGUACGACCGCAAGGUUGAAACUCAAAGGAAUUGACGGGGGCCCGCA